Molecule: ribosomal RNA, 440 nt
Filed under: uncultured bacterium
Lineage: Bacteria
Description: partial 16S ribosomal RNA
Rfam family: Bacterial small subunit ribosomal RNA
Source: RNAcentral
CCUACGGGUGGCAGCAGCAGGGAAUAUUGCUCAAUGGGGGAAACCCUGAAGCAGCAACGCCGCGUGGAGGAUGAAGGUUUUCGGAUUGUAAACUCCUUUUGUUAGAGAAGAUAAUGACGGUAUCUAACGAAUAAGCACCGGCUAACUCCGUGCCAGCAGCCGCGGUAAUACGGAGGGUGCAAGCGUUACUCGGAAUCACUGGGCGUAAAGAGGGCGUAGGCGGGAUAGCAAGUCAGAUGUGAAAUCCUAUGGCUUAACCAUAGAACUGCAUUUGAAACUGUUAUUCUAGAGUAUGGGAGAGGUAGGUGGAAUUCUUGGUGUAGGGGUAAAAUCCGUAGAGAUCAAGAGGAAUACUCAUUGCGAAGGCGACCUGCUAGAACAUAACUGACGCUGAUGCGCGAAAGCGUGGGGAGCAAACAGGAUUAGAUACCCCAGUAGUC